GUACCAAGGUCACGGAUACAGUUUGAUCCUGGCUCAUUUGUCGUAGAAUCGGCCUGGGAGUGGGGGAUUACGUCCGGAAACGGGCGCUAAUACCGCACACGUCCUGAGGGAGAAAGUGGGGGAUCUUCGGACCUCACGCUAUCAGAUGAGCCUAGGUCGGAUUAGCUAGUUGGUGGGGUAAAGGCCUACCAAGGCGACGAUCCGUAACUGGUCUGAGAGGAUGAUCAGUCACACUGGAACUGAGACACGGUCCAGACUCCUACGGGAGGCAGCAGUGGGGAAUAUUGGACAAUGGGCGAAAGCCUGAUCCAGCCAUGCCGCGUGUGUGAAGAAGGUCUUCGGAUUGUAAAGCACUUUAAGUUGGGAGGAAGGGCAGUAAGUUAAUACCUUGCUGUUUUGACGUUACCAACAGAAUAAGCACCGGCUAACUUCGUGCCAGCAGCCGCGGUAAUACGAAGGGUGCAAGCGUUAAUCGGAAUUACUGGGCGUAAAGCGCGCGUAGGUGGUUCAGCAAGUUGGAUGUGAAAUCCCCGGGCUCAACCUGGGAACUGCAUCCAAAACUACUGAGCUAGAGUACGGUAGAGGGUGGUGGAAUUUCCUGUGUAGCGGUGAAAUGCGUAGAUAUAGGAAGGAACACCAGUGGCGAAGGCGACCACCUGGACUGAUACUGACACUGAGGUGCGAAAGCGUGGGGAGCAAACAGGAUUAGAUACCCUGGUAGUCCACGCCGUAAACGAUGUCGACUAGCCCUUGGGAUCCUUGAGAUCUUAGUGGCGCAGCUAACGCGAUAAGUCGACCGCCUGGGGAGUACGGCCGCAAGGUUAAAAUUCAAAUGAAUUGACGGGGGCCCGCACAAGCGUGGAAGCAGGUGGUUUAAUUCAAACCACGCGAAAAAACCUUACCUGGGCUUGACAUGGUUAGAAAUUUUCCAGAGAUGGAUUGGUGCCUUCGGGAAAUCAAAAAACAGGUUCUGCAGGGGUUUCUUCCCCCCCCGGGCGGGGAAAAUUUGGGUUAUUCCCCUUAA
Molecule: ribosomal RNA, 1024 nt
Filed under: Pseudomonas aeruginosa
Lineage: Bacteria; Pseudomonadati; Pseudomonadota; Gammaproteobacteria; Pseudomonadales; Pseudomonadaceae
Description: bacterial SSU rRNA
Rfam family: Bacterial small subunit ribosomal RNA
Source: RNAcentral